UUUCAUCUUAUUUGUAACACAAAAGGUGAUGCUGGAAUUCCACUCUAGAUCUACCUCCUCAGUUAAAAGGGCAGAACAGGCUGGGCACCGUGGCUCAAGCCUGUAAUCACAGAACUCUGGGAGGCCGAGGGUCUCACUUUGUUACUCAGGCUGAAGUGUGGUGACAUGAUCUCAGCUCACUGAAACCUCUGCCUCUGGUGCUCAAGUGAUUCUUCCAGCUCAGCCUCCUAAGUAAGUGGGACUACAGGCAAGCGCCACCCAACCAGGGAGCCAGCGUCUGGUGAGGUGGAAUGACAGCUGGGGGCAAGGAAGCACCGGCUCUCUUCACUUUAAGGAGGGGCUGACCUAGGAAAAGGGCUUUCCCACAACUUGACCAGAAAAGUUCAUACAAAGGCAAGCCUAUCAGACUUACAGCAGAUCUCUCAGCAGAAACUCUACAAGCCAGAAGAGAGUGGGGGCCAAUAUUCAACAUCCUCAAAGAACAGAACCUUCAGCCCAGAAUUUCAUAUCCAGCCAAACUAAGCUUCACAACUGAAGGAAAAAUAAAAUCUUUUAUGAACAAGCAAGAACUCAGAGAUUUUAUUACCACCAGGCCUGCUUUACAAGAGCUUCUGAAAGAAGCAUUACACACAGAAAGAAACAACCAGUAUUAGCCUUUCUAAAAAUAUACCAAAAAGUAAAGAGCACCAACAUAAAGAAGAAUUUACACCAACAAAUGGAUAAAACAGCCAGUUAACAUCAAAUGGCAGUAAUCCUAAAUUUAAAUUGACUAAAUCCCCCAAUCAAAAGACACAGCCAAAACCCAAUGGCAUGUUACAUCCAGACCUGUUUCACAUGCAAGGAUACACAAAGACUCAAAACAAAGGGAUGGAGAAAGAUUUACCAACCAAAUGGAGAGCAAAAAUAAAUAAUGAAUAAAUAAAAAGCAGGAAUUGCAAGUCUUGUAUCGGAUAAAAUAGAUUUUAAAGCAACAAAGAUAUAGUGGUAAAGGAUCAAUGCAACAACA
Molecule: non-coding RNA, 1006 nt
Organism: Callithrix jacchus (white-tufted-ear marmoset)
Lineage: Eukaryota; Metazoa; Chordata; Mammalia; Primates; Cebidae
Source: RefSeq, a predicted model, not a curated record